RNAcentral lists this long non-coding RNA (35437 nucleotides) under Eucalyptus grandis. RNAcentral's name for it is "long non-coding RNA (EGRA_LNC003572)". Lineage: Eukaryota; Viridiplantae; Streptophyta; Magnoliopsida; Myrtales; Myrtaceae. The record is from RNAcentral.
GACAUCGCAAACCUCCCAUCGGAUGGUGCAACAAAUCACUCUAUCGCAUCUCCCCUGCCAAAUUCAUUGCUUGAUGAUGGGCCAAAUGAACUGUUGCCCAUUUUACCUGGGUAUCUAACAUUAAAUCCACAACGGUAUCAAUGUGCGUCAUUGCCAGCACAAAACCACCAGCUCCUUGAUAAUACUUUUCAGAAUGAGUCACGGGGGUCCAUUUUGCCUGGUCUCAUUGCAUCAGAUGCUCCACUCACUAACGUGGCCACAACAAACACUGCCCGGCAUUUUAAUCAACCAGAUCAGACCUUUCACAGGCAGUGUGAAGGUGGCACUGGCUUAUCUCCUCUACCGCUUUCCAUGGACAUAGAGCCACCUCUUCCAUCACGACCUUUCAAUGGACCUCCUAUUAUUGAGCCAUUUAAUUCCCCUCCGCAGAUUCCAGAGGACAUCUUAAACACAACUGGCCCAUCAACACCGGAAGGUAUAAUACCAUCGAUCUAUUAAAUGGGUCUCGAUAACGCUUAUUAACAAAAUCCAUAUUAUAUUUAUCAUUCAUGUGGUCUCUUGUAAACCCCAUGUUGCUUCUAUGGUGAGUAAGAAUGUUUCAAUUGGAGUCUAAUGCAUGAAGUUGUGGCUUAUAAAUUAGUGAUGCCAGAAGGUGCACCAGCAGGGACAUCAUCAUUCCAGUAUGAUCAAUUGGUGUAGGUAAUUCAAAUCUGGAUUGCAAUCAGCCACGUAUAUCUAGUGUAACAAGUGUAGCCAACACUGUCCCGCAUUCUAACCUAUCAUUCGAAGCUGCAAUGAAGAAUGUGGAACUAAAACCAGUUCGUUUCCCCUGCGAGAUUCGAGGGGCAUAUGUCCCAUCACUGCAUUACGGCCUAUUAGGUGCCCUCACAUCGAGGCAACACUUGUCAAUUUGCAAGUUCUGGAGAAUGGAGCAAAUAUGGCUGGCCCGUAACCAUCACAAGUGACUGUCUUGAUUUACCUAAAUAGAUAGUCAUUCCAAAUUAAUCAUAGGUAUUCCAACUCGAGUGAGCGUUGAUGUUUUCAUUGCAGAAGUGAUCCUUCUUUGUAUUAUUAACUCUCUUUUAGUAUGACUCAAAUUCGUCUAUUUCCAUAUCUAAUCUUUUCUCAAUUACCGUAGUAUCAUUGCAUGUUAUGUUUGUCCAACAUCACUUACUUUACGGCAUGGUUUUUUCAUCAAAAUAUUUUACUUAUCUGCAUGUUGAUUUUCCUUGUGGAUGUCUUUUGUGACCAAGUUCUAUGUUGUUUUACCUGUGUGCAUGGACACUCCAAUAUCUUAGUGCAACCAGCUCUGGUGCCCCCUCAACAUCAAAGUGUUCCACAUCAAGCUCCAAAUAAUACUCCUUCAGCUCCUCAGAUUCAACGUCGUGGAACAGGUCUGAUAGUCCCAUCGUCAUUGCCAGGUAUAUAGUUAUUUACCUAAAUUAAUCCUUAUGCAUCGAUCACCAUGUUAUGUUAUUAAGGGAAGCAAGAAUGCUAUAAUGAGACCGAUGGAUUUAAUUGCAGAAUUAGAUAUGAGCAAGGGUGUGCCACUAACGAGUCACACAAACAUAAACAACAACUUUGAAAAGAGUAGAGCUUUGAAAAGAAAAAUAAAGCAACUCUACAGUAGAGAAGCUGACAUAAGGGAUGAGUUAGAAUUUGCCGGGUCUCUAUCACUAAAGAAGCAGAAAAAGGAAGUUGAGAAUUGGUUGGCGGAUGUGGAGCAGCUCAGAAAAGAUUUUCAGAGUAUUGAAGCAACAAGUGAGGAUUGUUUGCCGUCACACCAGCAGGUGGAUACACUGACGCAACAAGCAGAAGACCUUAUGAAACAAGGCGAAUUCCCAAAAGGACUAUUUGGGGCGAGAAAGACCAAAGUCAAUAAGUUGAUAGAACGAAAGUUGGUGGGAGAGGCAUUUAAGAGAAAUACAACAAAGAUUUUGGAGUACUUAGUAGGGAGUCAAAUAUCCCGACUAGGCAUUUAUGGAAUGGGGGGUAUUGGUAAAACCACUCUUAUGAAGCACAUACAUAAUAGACUUCUCGAAAAAGCAAAUCAUGAUAAUGUGUUGUGGAUCACCGUGUCACAAGAUUUUAACACACAAAAGUUGCAGAACGACAUUUGGGAGGCACUAAAUUUAGGCACACUACAAGAAAAGGAGGUGGGGCAACGAGCAGCAAUGUUGUCCGCUGUUUUAACCGAAAGAGAGAAGUUGAUCAUAAUCCUUGAUGAUGUGUGGGAAGAUUUCAAUCUUGAAGAGGUGGGAAUCCCUGUUAGAGAAGAUGGAAAUAAGUUGGUCUUAACCACUCGAUCCCUUGAAGUAUGCCGCCGGAUGCAAUGUCAAGAAAUAAAAAUCGAACCUCUAUCUCUAGAAGAAGCUGAGGAUUUAUUUUUUGAGGAGCUUGGAUCCAAAGUGGCCCUUAAUUUGGAAACAAUUGUGAAGUCCAUUGUUAAAGAAUGUGCAGGCUUGCCACUUGGAGUCAUCACGAUGGCAGCAAGCAUGCGAGGAGUGACGAAUGUGUCUGAAUGGAGAGAUUGCUUGGAGAAAUUGAAAGAAUCAGAUGCCCCAACGGAGAUGGAAAAGAGAGUCUUAAAGCAACUAGAAGUCAGCUACGAUCGCCUUGAGAAACGUGAAGUUCAACAGUGUUUCUUAUCUUGCGCACUUUAUCCAGAAGAUAGAUUGAUUGAUAAGGUCGAGUUGAUAGAAUUCUUUAUUGACCAAGGACUGAUUUGUGGAUUGAAUAUGAAUACGAGGGAGAAAGAAUAUGAUAGAGGCUUCACCAUAUUGAGCAAACUGGAAAAUGUUUGCCUAUUGGAAGAUUAUGGAGAAAACAUGAAGAUGCACGAUUUGAUUAGAGACAUGGCAUUGCACAUCAUGAGUGCAACUUCCAUUGUAAAAGCAGGAAAGUGGUUGGAAAGUAUUCCAUCUGAGGAAUAUUGGACAGAUGCUUUGGAGAAAGUUUCUCUGAUGGAAAACGAAAUAAGUGAAAUUCCAUUGAACAUGUCACCAAAUUGUCCUAAACUAUCAACUUUACUACUGAAUGGAAGCUUGUUAAAGGAUGCGGUCCUCCCUGGUUCUUUCUUCAAACAGUUAUGUGGGCUAAAGGUUCUAAACCUGAGUGACUGUGAACUAAUAGAACUUCCAAAUUCCAUCUCAAAUUUGGUAAACUUGAGGGCACUAUUGCUUAGAGAGUGUCGGGAAUUGUGCCAUAUUCCUUAUUUAGGGAAGCUCACAUCUUUAAGAAAGUUGAACGUUGGUGGCUGUUCUAAGCUUAAAGAAGUGCCCGAGGGUCUGGAAAUGUUGGUGAACUUGAGAUACCUUGACCUACGUUUUUCAUCGACCGUUGAAUUACCUGAAAGAGUACUAGGGGGUUUGCUAAACUUGCAGCAUCUUAAAGUUUAUUUUCUAGAUGGACAAGACAUGACAAAAUUGAGGGCACUGGAGACACUCAAAUGCUCUUUUGAAGAUGCGAAUGAUUUCAAUAAGUGAACAGAGUAACCCUCGCUGUUAUUAUUAUCUCGGCAUGGCUCAAAAAGAUAUUUCUUAUUAUCGUGAAGCAUGUUAUUCUACUCAUGAGGAAUACCGUGAUAUUACUCAAAUUGAGAAUCGGAAGAGGGAAGUCAAAAUUUGGGGGUGGGAUCAUGCUAUUGUGAGUGUGGGAGGGGAAUGCACCGGCAUUUUUAUUUUGAUUCCCCACACCCGUGCAGAAAAUGACAAUGAUUGGUUGCGACGGUAUAACAAAUUUGUCUAGCAUAGGUCCGCUUAAAUACCUUGAGGAUCUAUGUAUAGGAUACUCAGAAAACUUAGGGAUGCUCUGUGGAGGAGAAGACGAAGAAGUAAUCGACAUCCUUGCCCCAGCCCUUGCGCCUCUCCUCUUCUCGAGCCUUAGGGUUUUAAAAAUAUAUGAUUGUCCAAAACUGAAGUAUCUCUUUGGGCAUGGGUCUAAAUCCAUCCUUCCGCAUCUACGAGAGAUUGAAAUAUAUGGAUGUGAGAAAAUGGUGGGGAUAAUAGCAGCAGUUACAUCCCCACCACCACAUCCGCUCCCAUUUUUCCCUAGUCUGGAACAGAUUAGCAUUAGUCGCUGUAACAAGAUGAAGAGAGCGGUGGAAUCUGAGUGGAUGCCCCACUUCCCUACUCUGAGAGGAAUCACAGCAAUUUAUUGUGAGAAGAUGGAGGAGAUAAUCGGAGGUCCUCCCCCAUACUCGCCGGAUGAACAGAUUUCUCUCGAAUCUCUUGAGGUAAGCCGUUGCUAUAACAUGAGAAAGCUGCUUACGUAUGAGUGGCUGCUCCAUCUUCGAAAUCUUCAAAGUAUCGUGGUCAGUCACUGCAAAGGAAUGGUGGAGUUGAUAAGCGGAGCGGGACAAGGCCAAGAAGGAAGCAUAACGACUUCUGUAAACAACACUCCUUCAUCCUUCCAGCCUUCUUCAAUUUCUCUCCCAAAGCUAGAGUGUUUGAAGCUACGCUAUCUACACCAGCUGAAGAGCAUAUACAAAGCCCCAAUAAGCUGCGAUUCCAUGAAAAGAUUGAAAGUGUACGGAUGCCCAGAACUGAAGAGGAUUCCUUUGCAACUGCCACUGCGUGAAAUUGAGGGAGCUUCCGCAUAUUUAUGAUGGAAGAUGAGGAAAAGUGGAAGACGGCUGAUGUGGGGAUCAUCCCGGAUGCUCAGGCUAUUCUUUCAACCUUAUCUCCAAAAAGGGUCAAAUGCUAUAGGUUAAUGAGUUUAAUUGGAUAUACGAUUGCUUCACUUCUUUAAAAGUCCUUUCAAAGAUAUAGCUUUUCUGUCUAUAUAGUCAUGCAGCUCUAAUAGUGGCCUUCUGUAGUACUGAACACCCAGGUGAAAGCAUCUCCUGCGACUUCACUCUUUGAAGAAGAACCCUGGCUGCUCGACCAUGGCUUUCCUACCAACUUGGACCUCAGGUUGCCAUAUGAACUGACUUUUUUUGUGUUGCCAUGCUUUGUCUAUUUUGAAUGCGAUCGCAUGUUUCAUUGACUACUGGAAAUGAGUCUAUCUGGUCGAUAUUUCAGGUUAGUCAAAAAGCAAUGGAUCUGAAGAUUUGGGAAGCCAAGGGAAUAGCAAAGUCUGUUUCCUAUCUUGUCUUAUAACUGAAAGGACAAUUUAUUAUUAUGGAUUGAUUUUCUUGGGAUAUUAGCCUUCUAAGAAAAGAGAGAAUUUUGUGCAGCACUACCUUUAAUCUGUUUUUGUUUAAAAAGGAUUUCAAAUAUGAUAUUGCUUUAACUUGUCGAUCGAAAAUAUUGUGUCAAAUACGCUGCUUUGCUCUGUUGGAUCAGAGCAACAUGACCCCAAUUAAACUUGUUUCGACGUUAAACUAUCGGGUAUAGAAUACUUGAUCUGCUUAGUAGUUGUAUCAUAUCUGGAAACGUAGGCCGGGAAGUUUUCUUUUCACCCUUUGUCAUACUUUGAAUUAGAAAUGUAAAAAGACGAAGAAGAAAGAAUUACACAGCUAUCACCCCUCUUUAAAUGCCUCGAAGUUGUGGAUAGAUGGAGAACCCUACAGCUUCAGCUCAAGUAACCAAAAAUCAGAGCAGUAACCACUAGCAAGUCAAUGGAAAAAAGGCCAGCUUAUAGGAUGUGGCACUUUUGAAAGUGUUUACAUUGCAAGCAACCAGUAAGUUAGCUCUGGGAAUCUUAGACAUGUUCCAUUUUUUUAGAUAUCCAGUCAGCUAAACUUUGACAUAUUAAGUGACAGAAAAACCAGAUCUCUAUGUGCAGAGAAGGAGUUUGAGCUAUUGCGUAAUGAUCCAAAUUUAGCUGAGUGCAUCGAGCAGUUAAAGCAGGUAAUGUUUUUGUUAUGCUCUGGGAUCCAAUCUAUCCUCUCAUCCGAUCUAAAUAUGCUGGGAGGAAACUUUCUUUCAUCAUUUCCAAGUAAUUGAUUGCUUUGUUACUACAGGAAAUUCAGGUACUUAGCUAGCAUAGACAUCCGAACAUUCUGCAGUAUUAUGUAAGGGAAAUUGUGAGUCACAUUUCCAUAGCAUCUAUGCGUCCCAACUCAAUGGGCGUUCAUUAUUUGACUCACCAAAAUUUCAACAUAUUCAUACAUACUCAGGUUGAGGAUUGGCGUUACAUAUAUCUAGAAUAUGCACAUCACGAUUCAAUAGACGAGUAUAUCCAGGAGCGUCUUGGGACCCUAACAGAAUCGGUUGUCAGCACUUUACCCGCUAUAUUGUGGCUGGAUUGGCUUCCCUGCAUGUUAACAACUCCAUACAUGGGUAAUUCUAAACCAUUGAUCAAGCAUCAUGAGAUGACUUGCAUAUUGGAUUAGGAUGAUUGGACCUUCUUCUUUGUGCCCCCAGACCUGUUAAAACUAUUUGGCUUGUGCAGGGAUUUAAAGGGAGCUAAUUUAUUUGUGGAUGCAUCUGGGAUAUGCAAACUUGCUGACUUUGGGAUUGCUAAACAUGUGAGUUUUUACCUCUUCACUGCAAGACUACUCAGUGCAUGUAGAAAUUCCUUGCUGAUCUGUGGUACAUUCGAAUGUGAAGUCAGGGACCCAGGGUGACUGCAUACUUCUCAUUAUUGGUUUGUGGCAUUUCAUAUGUGCAUAAAUCUAUCAUAGAUGGAUGAAAUGUUAUUAAGUAAUUUUCUUCACUUUUUUUCCCAUUGUUUCAGGUAAAGUUACCAUGUUGCAUGAACGGGAAAAGAUUUCUUGCUGUAAAUAGAUGCCGAAACCUAAUGAGAGUUCCCUUUCUACUGGUUUCUAAAAAGUUCCUAAGAGCGGUAGUGAAUAGAACGCAAUACCUUUGGCAAAAGGUUGUGGUGUUGUUUUUGCUGCUCCUCUGCAUUCCAAAAUAAGGAUAGAACUUAGUCAGAGUAAGUAAGGGCCUCCUUCCUAACAUGAGGUAAAUAAAAGUUUAUGAAUCCAUAGAAUGGAAUUCUGGACAGUAGCCAAGGUGUUGUUGCUCUCUUUUUGAGUUCUCAAGCAUUUGCUGAGGCCAUGUUGUUGAUUGCUUCAUGGUCCUUUUUCUCAGUAAUGAGCUAACAUGAGUUGAAAGUGGUUGAUUCAGUUAUCAAUAUGAUGUAUCUAUGUCUAUAAAGAUGUUGCUAUUUUAUCCGGUGUUCCAUGAACACACCAAGUAGUAUUCAGCUUUACUAAUGCCGUACCAUUUCUUAGCUAACCGGACAAGCAGCUUGCCGCUCUUUGAAGGGAAGUCUAAACUAGAUGGCUCUAGAGGUACUCUGCUUUUGUUAACGUUAAUGCGGCAUACUCAGAGGUCCUCCCCCAUACUCGCCGGAUGAACAGAUUUCUCUCGAAUCUCUUGAGGUAAGCCUUUGCGAUAACAUGAGAAAGCUGCUUACGUAUGAGUGGCUGCUCCAUCUUCGAAAUCUUCAAAGUAUCGAGGUCGCUGAGUGCAAAGGAAUGGUGGAGUUGAUAAGCGGAGCGGGACAAGGCCAAGAAGGAAGCAUAACGACUUCUGUAAACAACACUCCUUCAUCCUUCCAGCCUUCUUCAAUUUCUCUCCCAAAGCUAGAGUGUUUGAAGCUAUGCUAUCUACACCAGCUGAAGAGCAUAUACAAAGCCCCAAUAAGCUGCGAUUUCAUGAAAAGAUUGGACGUGUACGGAUGAUUGACUUAUUUCAAGUGCCAUACGUUGUUGCAAAUGGAUGUUGUACUGUAAAGUUCCAUAUUUACUAAACCAGAAUAAUCACAGGGUCCAUAGAUGUGAUGAAGUACUUGUAUAUCGACGAAAUAAGAUGCAUGUUCCUCUCGCAUGGUUUGACCAGUGUCAUCCUACGAUCUAGGCAAAUUUGACAGUGUUGCUUAAUCUAAACAUUUUGUAUGAAGUACAUUUAUUCAUCAAAAUUGAAUGGUAUUGAUAUGGCUCCAAAUAAGAAACGGAUCAGCAAAACAAAAGUAAUAAAACCCAAGGAAAGACAAAAGUAAUAAAACCCAAGGAAAAAGGAAAAGAAAAAGAAAAUCGAAGUGAUAGUGCAUCAGAAUUCCUGAAUUGGUGGGAGGAACAUUGGCAGGUUUGGCAAACCUGCAACGUCUUAGGACUUGGGAAGUGAAGGGAAAAAUAUCAAAGUUACGGGCAUUGGAGGCUCUUAAUUCUUCCGGACAGACCACAAUGGCUUUUCUCUAUUCACCGGAAAUUGGUGAUGGUGAUGAGGGCCACUCUGAUUGGAGAAAUUUCAUGUAUUUGUUGAGAUCAACGAUGAUGAUGAUCCAAGAUUUGCAACUUUCGAGUGGAGAAAUUUCAUGUAUUUGUUGAGAUCAACGAUGAUGAUGAUCCAAGAUUUGCAAUUUUCGAGAGGAGAAUCAACGUUGAUUGUUGCGAUAAUGCUUGUCAGGGCAGCAGGGAAAAGUUUUUUCCUGGUGGUUUUGCGGCUUUUGCCCCCAAGUGAUGCUGCAAGUUUGCUGGAUUUCCCCCUAACGGUUUUUUGUCAUUUCCCGGAACGUUUUUGGAAUAAUUUUGCAUGUUGUUACAAAGAUCUCAUGCGGUUCGUUUACAGGAUUUUAAUAGGCCUUAUAUUUAUAUAAUUUACCUUCACUUACUCGUUCAAAUAUUUAGGUUGGAUUUUUUCCUAUGUGCAAAUAGCAAUUUUUACGUGAAAUGCAAACUAAACAUGCUUCCUUUUUAUUAUUAUUUUUUCUGCAAUUAAAGUGAUUCCUCUACCCUAAUGCAUACCAGAAAUAUAUUCAAAAGUGUGACAGGAAAAAGAACUCCUUGAAAUUUUGCAAAGUCGGAGGCGCUUUUUAGACCAAGCGAUGUCUCUCGGCUGCAUUGAAAUAUGUCUUCGUUUUCGUUUUCUUUUGUUCUUUUCCUCAAUCUUCAANNNNNNNNNNNNNNNNNNNNNNNNNNNNNNNNNNNNNNNNNNNNNNNNNNNNNNNNNNNNNNNNNNNNNNNNNNNNNNNNNNNNNNNNNNNNNNNNNNNNGCUGUUUUUUUUUUUUUUUUGUGUGUUCUCUGCCCAAACCUUAAUGAAGACUACUAAUUGGUGUUUGGUCUUUCAAAGUGUAGCAUUAUUGAGCAUCAUCAUCAACUCAUCAAGUUCGCUAAACUCAGUCAUCAAUUAACUAACGAUUCUUGUCUAACAGGAACUGCACCAACGUAGCAAGAAAAAGAUAAACAAAAACUCAGGCAAGAACUCAUUCGUUUUCAAGACUCGGUCAUAAAAAUCGAGGAAAAGAAACUAUGAAUAUGUGCCGGAUUUUUCUCUGCUGCCGUGCCCUUUUUAACCUACUUUUGACCCAGAAUUCGACCAUUUACAGCUCUCGGUUCCUUUUGUGUGUUUUCACACUGCUAAUUUCCUUCAUUCACACACGAAGGAAAGUCGUGUUGAAAGUGGCCUCCUUUCGGCCAACCAGGAGGAGGGAACGGAAAGGACUUCACUUCGAAGAGCGGGCACGUCCAAAAUUCUCAUAAGAAUUCCCAUUUAAAUUCGCCUGGAAAUUUAGAGUCGGGUUGUGUAACAGAUUGGUUCACAAUAAUUGCACUCUUAUUAGAAAGGGCAGUACAAUCACAAGAAUGUGAGAUUACAAAUGGAUGUUAUUAUGGGUCAAAUUAUCAGUGUUUUUCUUCGUUAAUUUUUAUGAAGAUGCGAUUGAAACCUUUGAGCUCGUAACAGUAAUUUAACUUAAAAACUAUUGAGUUAUUAUAGUCUUUAAAUCAUUCUUGGGACAUUUUUUUUUUCUUUUGGAUCUGAAGAUCCAAACUACAUAUGAAACGAGUCCCGUGAUUGGGAAAACACGAAUUUAGCAUAUUAUGCUUGCUCCUAAAUAUUUUUAUGUGGAUGCCACAUAACAAGUACCUAUAUAAGUUCAUGCAAAUAGGAUCCAACGAAUUAACAAUCCAAAAUUUGAGAGAAAAUAUGAAGUGAUUUUGUGCAUUUUUGAAACUCUGUUAGUGUACAUUCUUGUAGUUUUUCCUUGUCCAAAUAUACUGAUUUUCAACUUUCACUAAGAUGUUGCAAAUUCAAUUAGAAGCAUAUAAUUAAUAGUCCUAAUUAGCCAAGUCACAAAACCAAUCAUAAGAGAUUCAUUGCGGUUGUCACAAAGUCUUGAAUUGGUGGGAUGGUUAUUCCCAUGGCAAGAGCGGCUAACAUCGCAAACUUCAUCCUCUAGGGAUUAAGUUAAAAUAUUACCUUUGGCACUUAAGGUGUUCUUAUACUCCAUAAUAAAUAUGUUACUUAUUUUAUCAAUUAAUCUACCCUCAAUAAUAUGCUAAUAUUGGUUUAGAUAAUUUGUCGAUUUGGCUAUAACUUGGAAUAAGAGACAAUAACAAUAUAAAUCUAAUAUUGAAAAAAAUUUGUAUGAUUUUUUUUUUCACUUAUUAGUUAUUCUUUUAGCAAUUACCGAAUAACAUCAUUCAAACUGCAUAAUGCCAAAUCUAUUUUUUUUUUCCAAUUACAUUAUGCCAUAAAUGUGCGAAUCAACAUACAUGAUUUCACCUCAAACAAAUGGACUUUUUUUAUGAAUAAAUUUUUUAAAAAAAAAAGAUAGAAAAAUAGCUCAUAUUAGGGCCAUUUACCAGGUAAUGCAAAUUAAAACCAAGUCUUAUUUAUGUCUAUUAAAAAUUUCCAAUGCCAUAUCAUAUCAUUUACACCUAAAAUGCAUAGAAUAUACAUUCGGAGAAGAAGGAAGAUAAGAGAAACUUAAACAAAAGAGCAUUUCUAUCUGUCGUAAGAUAGAAAGUAAACAUCAAAUUUAGAUAAUCUUACUUUAAAUACUUAUGUAGCAAGCACAUUCAUAAAAAUUAGAACAUAAUGUAAGCCUAAACAAUAAUAUAACGAUUGAUUUAUAUAAAGUGUCAAUAUAACAUUAUGCAAAAAAUUUAUACAUGUAAUAUGGGUUCAUAUCAAUAAAUGGAAUUGGAAGUAAAUUUCUGAAUCUGUGCAACCCAUGGGUCUUUGUUUACUACACAUUCUACAAAAAAAUGCAGUCAUAAGUUACAAUUUGAUGGAAUCACCUACCAAUUCUACUCACAUCAUAGGAAAUGUUUUCUAGCAGCUGGAUGGCUUGGAAUAUUUUGGGGCCAGAGAUGGACACAUUUCAUUCAUAUGAGGGUACAGGUCUACUGUAUUGUAUCCUGGCAGCUCCANNNNNNNNNNNNNNNNNNNNNNNNNNNNNNNNNNNNNNNNNNNNNNNNNNNNNNNNNNNNNNNNNNNNNNNNNNNNNNNNNNNNNNNNNNNNNNNNNNNNNNNNNNNNNNNNNNNNNNNNNNNNNNNNNNNNNNNNNNNNNNNNNNNNNNNNNNNNNNNNNNNNNNNNNNNNNNNNNNNNNNNNNNNNNNNNNNNNNNNNNNNNNNNNNNNNNNNNNNNNNNNNNNNNNNNNNNNNNNNNNNNNNNNNNNNNNNNNNNNNNNNNNNUAAAAAAGAUAACCCAACUAGGGUCAAUCAGAUCGCACUUACAGUGAACUCUGUAACAUGAAUGGAGCUAGAAAUUGGAUCAAGAGUCCUGCUGCUUUGUACAUUCAAGAACAAAAGCUACACAAGAGGCGGACUUCCCAUCACUAUAUACCCAAUGGUCUUGCUCUGGAGUGUCAGCAGUUCAGCAAAAGAUGACCCCCUCAUUUCAGUUUCGUGUAUUAGAUUAGGAAGAUCCAAGCCCUGUAUGCAACACAAUCGUAAGGUAGCCAUAAAGUAAAGUAAGUGUAAUUACAACCAUAUAACAUUUGUUAACAGAAUGUCAUCCAAGAGACAUUAGAUUUCAGUUGCACCUCAGUGUGCAAAACAAGAUGCAUAACGUCACACAGACAAUUGCAAAUUGAAUGGGACGGUACCUUUGUUCCUAGUCACUUGUUGAGUGCUUCAUUCCAUAUGUUCGCAGCAUAGGCUGGUUGCACUUGGUUCCAUAGUCAUAACAGAAGCAACCUACAAUAAUACAAUGCUUUCUAUAAAAUGAGUGAACCGCACUCCCAUCACGCGAAUAAAGCACCCCACAUGGUGAGCAUAUUACAUGCAUCGUCAGUCAGGCUGAUAGCAACUCUUAAGAAACAAUGAACAAAGUCUACUAUUUUGCUGUCUUAGUAUCAUAUAGGAGGCCAUAAAAAAUGAAUAAUUGUCAAACUAAGCCAGGUUCUUUUCCAUAACGUUAGCACUCAAUAGAGUCACAUACGAACCUGCUAUUUGGCAAAAUCACUGUUCAUUUUUUAGCCUUUUGUCUUGUUCAGUUGAAUUCAUUCGAAAUCAUGGCAUGAUUGUCUAAUUUCAACUAGAAUGUGUUGUUAGGAUCUAACACACGGCUUAAUAAUAUUUCAAGGUCUAUCAAAGUAAGAGUAAANNNNNNNNNNNNNNNNNNNNNNNNNNNNNNNNNNNNNNNNNNNNNNNNNNNNNNNNNNNNNNNNNNNNNNNNNNNNNNNNNNNNNNNNNNNNNNNNNNNNGCAUCUAAGAAUCUCAAGGCAUCUACAGAUAUACCUUGGAAGUAACACAAGGCCUUAGCGCUAGAAAAUUGUCUAAGGCAACUGAAUGCACCCACAAAAUAUAUAUAAACAUAUAUGAACGUGUACAAUCUCUGUACCACAUGAGCAUCUAAUGGCGGUAGAUAAUUUGCGCCGAUGGUGUCUAUCCAGCUAAAAAGCAUGUUGUGAUAACCAUAUGGUUUCCCAUUCAUAAUCUGUGCAAACUCCCAUGCAGCAGCUCAUUAAAUUUGGCUCACAUAUCAGGAUGCAGUGGAAGCAACGCAAUGUGGGGAUUUGAGUAAUCUUUGUUAAGCUCGAACUCCCACCAUUUUCCCAUGGUAACACAGCAAUGACAUCUUCUCCCUGCAAUGAUAAGAACAAAACAAAACUUGCAUAAUCUCUAUUACUAUGUUAGACUUCUUAGCACCUGACCCCUUUACCAACACAAAGGAACAAAGCAUGUAGCAAAAACCCAAAUGUGACCAUAAAUUUAUUAAUCAAGGUCUGCCUCAAGUAAAGGACGUCAUUUCAUCAAAUUCUAACCAUAAUCAUCAUCAGUAAGUUAUCGUCUCGUGUGUAAGGAUGGUCCUGAAGUUCAGCAGAAAAAGUUCAGACACUGCAUUCCCUAUGUUACAAAUAUGAUGAUGCUCCAAUAGAGCUUCUAGUAGGAGCCUAGAUAGGAUCAGCUGCAGUUCAACAUGAACCUGAAGCAGCAUGUCAUCGUUUACUUACUCAUCCUCUCUUACAAUCAAAAGUUUCUAUGGGAGCACAAAAAGGAAAGACCUAUCUUAUUAGAGAACAUAAGAUGAGCAAGGAGAUUUAAGGACAUAGGGGCAUGACUAAAGCACGCUUAAUAUGCAAAAUGGAACGAUCUCAAUGGGAACCAUAUUUGUGAGAGAAGAAGUCCAUGAUUCGACAAAAGUCACAUUUAUAAAGUAAUCACACAGAAAUACAAUGCCCCAAAAACCUAAGGGUUCAUGAAAUGUUAGAGAAACACAGCAGAAACCCUACUUGUCCUUUUCAAUAUGUAUGAGACCACACUUUGAUAAUCAGAGGACAUUAAAGCAGUAUUGUAUGAGUGUCUUUAAUAAUGAAUGACAGAUAAGCAUAGGGAAUUUUUUUUUUUUUUUUGGGUCGGUAAGCACAGGGAAUUAAAGAGAUGGAGAAAUAAUGACUCAAACAAUUCUGGGGGUGUUUGAAACAUUUGAACGUUUGUCUAUUGGAUAUCCCCAUAUAGGAACAAUGUGGACAAUUAUUGUGGAAGACUGGCAUACUUACAGCCAUGUUAAUAUUGUGUCUAUGCAAUUGGUUUAAAACUUUACUUCACAAUUACAAUUGCAGAGACAGCAGCAGGCAAAAAGAUUGGAUGAAAUGUCGAACAUCAAAAGCAAUCCAUCAAUGUAUGGAAAAAAAAGAACGNNNNNNNNNNNNNNNNNNNNNNNNNNNNNNNNNNNNNNNNNNNNNNNNNNNNNNNNNNNNNNNNNNNNNNNNNNNNNNNNNNNNNNNNNNNNNNNNNNNNNNNNNNNNNNNNNNNNNNNNNNNNNNNNNNNNNNNNNNNNNNNNNNNNNNNNNNNNNNNNNNNNNNNNNNNNNNNNCCAACCCAAAGCUUUCCUUCAGCAUCCCUUAAGCACACAGCUGUGUGACCAGCAUAUGCGCCACUGACCCAUUUCUCUAGAGUCCCAAAACCACCCCACCUUCCACGAAUUUUUGAAAUUGCAAUGAAGUCUCCAGAGUGGAUAUCAUCAAUGCUGAUGUUUGUAACCCAGGGCUGGGGACGUUGCUCAAAUGAAGCUCCCAUAUGCUUCUUGAGAAAACCAAUGUUAGAUUUCUCCCCUCACCCGGUAUUUGAAAACAAGGAAACACAUCCCACAGUGCUUGAAGGGUCCCAAGCAUCCCAGCUUGCAUCAGAAAGAUUGACACUCCUCUACUUUUCACCUGCAAUCAAAAUAAUGGAAAAUCAAAGUUUGACAACUCGCCAAUAUGCACAAGCAAGAGCAGAAGAGAAAAAAGAUAAUUGCAGCUUACAUAUUCAAACUCAGCUUUUCCUUCCCACUCUUUGAACUCAAAUGUGUGCUCACGAGAUAAAAGAUACUAGUCCCAUGUCACGCAGUAUGGGGUUGCAAAGACAUAAAUAUCCAUACACGUCCAGCUAUGGGCUUUGCUCACCUGGAUGAGCAAUCCAAACUCAUGGUUACAAGCCGGAUACCUACAACUAGUUGUUAGUUUCCAUAUUCAGCAGAACUAGAUGCAAAAACAAGGACUAUGAAGCAUCAACACGAGGCAGUACCCACCCAAACUGGAAUAGCCUCCAUAAGAUAAUUUGAUUUUACAUCAAACGAAACAAUUGUACUUGUAUGAGCAACCAAAUCACUAAAUCCUUCUUCAACCACUUAAAACCUAGACACAAAAGACUCAAGUGACCAACCAUGGUACCAAUUCGUGGAGCUUAAUCAAAGUACAAACAAGCAGAUGAAAGGAGAAGGAAGAAAAAAACUUAGCUAGUGACGAAAUCCACUAGAAACAUAUUGAAGUAAGAACUGAAAAAUUCCAUCACUCAGAUUCCAACAUAAAUAGCAGAUGAGAAAAGAGAACAGUUGGGAUCAAGUGGCAUGGGCCCAAACAUCGAAAGGAUAUUCUCUAACGUCCUUUNNNNNNNNNNNNNNNNNNNNNNNNNNNNNNNNNNNNNNNNNNNNNNNNNNNNNNNNNNNNNNNNNNNNNNNNNNNNNNNNNNNNNNNNNNNNNNNNNNNNAGUGAUUUUCUUUCACAACUCUAUAGAUAAGUAUGACGCACACUUCAGUUGGUAAGAAAAAUUCGUAAGUAGAUAGAAACUCUAUCCAGUUUAGAGCUUUGAAUCCAUUAGAAAAAAUCGACCUCAAAUUAACUAAAAUAGAAGCUCAAACUAAGUUAAUCGGAAACUGGGAAAAGCUGCCCAAACGAUGGCCAUUAGACCCCAUCAAACAAACUCCUACAACCUCACAUCUCCUAGAAUUAUCACACAAUCCGAACUGCAGUGAAUUGAAUUAAGCACUAACAUUCGACCAGAGAACCUUAAAAGCUCGUGAACAGUGACUGUCUCUGCACAUUACCAAGCCGCCACAAGCUCAAGCAUCCCAAAAUCUUCCAGAAUCGCACUCAAACACAAGUAUUUCCAUUCCAUCCCGUUCCCCACUAUUCACCAAACAAAAAACAAGACUUGGAAUCAUCACUCCAGUCCAUUCCUUUCCCCAUCAUUUCCCGAUUUCAUUCCAUUCCACCGUACCAAACCCAACGUAAUAGUCAACUAGAAAACCUCAUCUUCCAGAAUGGCACUCAAAACCAAACGGAGACCAAGCAAAAGCGACGCGAUAAAACUAAAGAACGGACCUUAAUGUGAGGCGUGCCUCCGCCGAACUUGCUCCCGGUGUUGUUGUGGAACUCCAACCAAGCGGUCGGAGGAAAAAACGGUGCCGACGAAGGCGGGCAACAGGUCCAGGGGACGGCGAAGGGCGUUGAGGAUGGGCCAGGACAGCUGCUUCGGCAAUAGAUGGAGUAUGUUCUCCAUGGUGGAAUGGUGGUUUCGCGGCUCGAGAGCGCGGGUUGAGCAGAGAGGAGAACGUGAAGAGGAAGAGAAGCAGCAGAAAUUGGCUGACGAGAAGCCAUUGAAAUUGCGAGAGAGAGAGAGUCACCUCUCCAGCGACGGUCCACUUCUUUUUAGUGUCUCGCGCUACACUAUAAAAGGUGUAGGGGUAAGAGGAGCCACUCGUUUUGAUUACAUCCUUGGACGCUUGGUAAUUUAGGGUGCUUAACCAGUUAAAUGAAACAUUAAAGCAUAAUCGGGGCUGAAAAUAUUCUGUAUUCUUAUAUUAUGUAUUAAUGUUGGCAAAAAUCUUAAAUUAUAUCCAUCGUGACAUUAAUGUCUCGAAUUAGUAUUGAUUUCGUGGCGAACAAAAGUUAAGAUUUUUAGAGACAAGCUAGAGGUAUUUCCACUUCAAAUAUAAGUUUUAAGUGUAAAGAAGGGCGAUUAGAAGUCUCCAUGGAGGACCUAACCCUAUGGGAAGAUAUAUUGCUUACCCACCCCCUUGUAGCUUACCGUCAAACUACGGCCAUUGAUAGCUUCAAAUUGGCUUAUAUUGCCUAUCCCUCACCCUCUUAUAUUGCCUCAACAACUUUCACUACACCGCCCUCUCAGGACUUAGUUAACAUCAAGAGUAUCCUUUUAUUUAUAUGUUGUCAGUACGAACUUGACAUUUAGCUUGAUUUCGCAAUAACCAUGCAAUCUUCCUUGUUGCUAAAUUGUGUCUUGAGUUUGAGCCGAAUCCACACCUUAUUGCUCAAAGUCACGCACGAAAUGCAAUGCGCACACAAGUCUUGGACCUUUUUUCUCUACUUCAUUAAUGCUAUGCUUGCACGAAUCUCCUCCUGUGUCCCCUUAUCAUUUUAUCUUCUUUUUUUGGUUCGAAUCCCCUUUUGUCAUUGAAGGAGCUGAACGUCCAUUUUUCGCCCUCACUCCACAGCGCUCCCUAUUUCGGAUUCUCGCUCGAUCAGCGAAAUGAGAAAACUUGGCGCCGAAGUGGACGUCGGAAAUGGCGGUGAUGGCGACGUUCUUGAGGCCUAGCCUCAAUAUUCGAGUGGAAUUGAGAGGGUGCUUCCAUUCCAGACAGUGGUGGAGAACUGUGACGCUCACGGGGUGAUCGAGACCCCGGAGAUUGGAUCCGAGCACAGAGGCACGUGAGUCGUUUUCGCGUUUUCAUGGAACAGGGGUGGACGUUGGUGAUCUGGAUGGGGAAAGGAUGGAGCUUGAGGAGGAUGGUCAGGGACGCGUAUAGAAACGGACUCGACUUAGGGUUCAAGAACGGGUUUACAAAUGGGAUUCAGGUUGCGAAAUGGACCUGCAUCUUUCUAGGAUGGAGAAGUUUUUUCCAGAAAUUGUGAGACGAUUUCGGGAAUUUGAAAGAAACGAGAAGGACCAGAGCACAGGGCAAUUUUAAUUUAUUUUGGCCAAACGUUCGAGCAAUAGUUUCGAAUUACUAAGGAGUAUAUAUAAAUUUCAGCACGGUGACCUCUUUGGUUCAGAUCGGAAAAGUAGUGUGGGGGUGGUGUCUCGCCGCCCUCUAGCGAUACACAAGGGCCUGGCAGUGCAACGUUGUGGGCUUAGUAGGGCUUUUAGGGCUUAUUUGCCGGAUAUUCAUCGAUUUCUGGCCGAAUACAUGGCAACAACCAACGGCGGAGGUUGUUCUCAUGGGACAGCCACAGCCAUGGUCGCCGUCCCCUGAAAUGAUUAAGUUAAACAAUUUGUCAAAUUGCUUAAUUCAACAAUUUCGCACUCAACAGUGUCGACUUCGUAACUCACUUUCUCUGAUGAAAAAUGACCAAUAUCAUGCGUUUAAACCACAGUAGGCAUCGGCUAAGAUCAAAACGUUCAGAUUCAGCCGCAACAAGUCAACGAUGAGGCCCUUGAAAGACUUCUAUCCUUCCAAAGUCUUUUCUUGACUUAGGCAAUUCCAUUUGUUUCUUCACAUACUUGUUCAAGUUUUUGGGUUAGACUGUCAUGUGCUGAUGACUUAAUUAUUGCGUGAUUAUAUUAUUAAACUAAAUAAUUUGAUAGAUUAUGAUUGAUCUUAUUAAGCCAACUGCAUUUGAUAUUUUCACGUUAUUUGGCAUACAAAAUGUCGAUAUAAAUAGUAUAAUUCUAGGGGCUAAAAUUGUAAUUGACUCAAAGGCGAACGCGUAUUUGUGAGUAAUACCGUCAAACUCCUUUUGAGAUUCUCCUUCCAAGGCAUGUUCUCCUACUUAGAUAACUCGAUCAGUUUCCUCUUUUUUUCAAUAAUAUAAUUUAAUUUCCCUUUAUUAAUUUUCUCUAUUUAAAUCUAGUGUAUUUCUCUACUAGUGUUUUCGCUCCUGGUGAAAUAAGGGGAUUAAAUUUAUUUGGUCGGUUAACUAUCAACGUCAAUUAAGAUUUAAUUUCUUUCUAUCUCUUUUUGUAAAUAUUUAUACACAAAAUUCUUAUUGUGUAUUUUUGUCAAUAAAUUAUUUUCAUGAUUUAAUAAUUCAUAUAUUUUACCAAAAAAAUUAUUUAAAUUAAUUUUUUAAAUACCAAUUGUUCCCACACACAUAAUGCAUAGCGGGUGAUAAAUAAAAAGCAGAAGAUCCUCAUAGGAGAAAAGGAGCCCGCGUAUAGCACGAUUUCAUUCUCUAGAAUUAAUUAUUUUCUUAAGAAGGUAUUUCACAAUUUCCAAGUUGUCUUUGAAUUAAUCGAGUCUUUCUUAAAUAUCAAUCUACAUAUUGGCUUUCUAAUUGUUGAAUGGGUUUAGUACCCAUGGAUAAUAAGUAAUGCUACAAAGACCUUAGAAGACAAAAAGGAUUUUCACCCUAUAUGAUGUCAUGUGUUCUCAUCGCCCUAAGAACAUAUGUUAGCUUGUCAUACUAUCUAAUGGGCUAGGAUGCAAAAGUCACAAUAUAGCCGUAUGUAGUAUGGCCAUUAAAAAUGCAGAAUAAACAUGGUUUCUUUUUAUUAUUAUUUUUUUUUUACGAAUAAAGUGAUUCAUUUAUUCAAAAGCAUAUUGGAAAUAUAUGACAUGAAUGAUUUAAAAAGUAAAGAAAAAGAAAUUCCUUGAAAUUUUGUAAAGUCGGAGGUGCUGCUCAAAUCGAGGAGUGCGGGUGGUCCCAGCAAAGUGACGUUAAUGUACAAGAAACAAAAGGUAGGAAAAGUAAUAAGAGCAACGUGCAGAAACGACGACGGCUUGGCGUGGAACGAGCAUGGCUUUAAGCAAACACAGAAGCGGCGCAUCUCUCGAUAUUUUGAUGUCGCCUAUUCUUCCUCUUCUUCUUCUUUUUUUUAAACUGAUAAGGCUGCUCCGGAGCCUCUCUUCAUUUUCGUUUUUUUUGUUUGUUUUUUCCUCCUCAUUUUUCCAACCACAUCCUCACCAUAACGCGCCUUCUCUCUUUUGUCCCCUAGCUCUCCCCACUUUCUUUCGCCCGACUCUCUCUUCUUGUCUUGCUUUCUUUUUUGGGUUCCCCGCCCAAACCCUUAAUGAAAGAUUAAUUGCUGUUUAGUAUUUGUUGACGCCUCAAAUUUUAAUUAAGUUUAUUUUAUCUUAUUAAUUAAUUUUUUAUUUUAUUUAUCUUGUCUUUUUUCGAAAUAAAAACAGCAAAGCAAAGCAAAGCAAAAGAAAAAAAAAAGAAAAAAAAAAAAGAGCAGCCUUUGUAUGGGCCCUCGGCCCAUUUCGUCUCAGCCCAGCCCCCCCCACUUCUUCUUCUUCCUCGCGCAGUUGCAGUGCACAAGCAGAGGGCGCGACGCCGGAGCGGAGGGGAGGAGCAACAAUGGCGCACGUGGAGCAGGGGGCGGCUGGCGUCGGAUAAGAACGUGGGAGGGGCAGCUGGCGUCGGAUGGGACGCCGGUUCGGCCGGCGGAGGCCGCUUGGCGCACGGGGACCGGCGGUCGAAGCUCCGUCGACCGGCUGCUCCCUCGCCUAUAAAUAGGCCCCCGUUUCCGUUGUCGAAGGGGCACGCCAGAAGAUCGCAAGCUUGGAAACUUCUUCCUGAGAGACUUCGGAGGAGGUUGAAGGGCGAGCGAGAGAGAACUCGGGUCGCGAGUUCGGCUGACCUCCCACUGAGAGACUUCGGGGGAGGCUGCCGGCGAGCGAGUCCGAGGUGGUCAGAUCCGGCCGGUGGAGGCUCGGAUCUGGCCGGAAGAGAGAGAGGCCUGCGAGCUCCGAGAGAUCCCCUGAGAGACUUCGGGGAACUCAAAGAGCGAGCAACGACCUCCCUCCGAGAGACUUCGGGGGAGGCCGGCGGCGAGCGAACCCGGAUCUGCGAGAACUCGAGAGCGGAGAGAGGAGAGAGAUCGAAGCCGCGAGCAUUCAAGCUUCCCCCGAGAGACUUCAGGGGAGGCUCGACGCUCGCGAGCCCAGAUCAAAGGGAGGGAGCAGAGUUCGGGCACCCUCCGCCGUCGUAGCCGCCGCCGUCGCCACCGUUCGCCGUUCAAGCUGCCGUUCACGGACAGGUAGUGCUACCGCCGCCGCCGCCGUCGCCGUCGCCGUCGCCGUCGCCAUAGCCUCCCCCCCCUCUCCACAGUUCAACCGCCGUCGCCGCCGUCACCGUCGUCCCCGCGGUUGUGCCUCGGCCCUCUCCCCCCUCGGCGCCGCGGAUUCGCAAACCCUAGAUUUCCGGGUCACGAAGCGGAUCCGGGUUUGGAAAGCGGGUAGGGUUUUCGCGAUUUAAGGGGCGGCGGAAACCGGGUCGGGAGUUGGGUCGGACCCGGGUAGGGUUUCGCUAGGAACCCGGGUCGUCGGGCCGGGCCGGGCGUCCCCAAACGCCCGACCACGGCGUCGUUUAAAAAAAAAAAAACGAUGAAAAAUCUGACUCGGGCCCGCGUUUGGGUCGCCGACCCGGGUCGGACCCAACCCGCGGAUCCGACCCGGGUCGGUUUUAUUUUGUUAUUUUAAUAUAAAAUAAUAAAUAUUUUAUUUUCAAAAAAAAAAUCAAAAAAUGUUUUAUUUUCAAAAAAUAUUUAAAAAUGUUUUAAUUUCCAGAAAAUCAAAAAUAUUUAAAAAAUAUUUAAAAAAUGUCGAAAAAUGUUUUAUUUUCUAAAAAAUCGUGAAAAAUCAAAAAUAAUUUAUUUUCCAAAAUAUUUUGAAAAAUAAUAAAAAAUAUUUUAUUUUCCAAAAAAGAAAAUUAAAAAUAUGCCAAAAAUCCAAAAAAAACCAAAAAUUCAUGAAAAAACAAAAAAAAAAAUUCAGAAAAGCCAAAAAGACAUGUGUUUUUCAAAAAAAAAAACCCAAAAAAUCCCUUUUGCGUCCAAAAAUAAAAAAAUGACUCAAAAAAUGUUUUUCCUCCAAAAAAUGCAUGGAAAAUCUCUCAAACAUCCAAAAAAGCCUUAGAAUCCUUAGGGUUUAAACAAAGAUUAAGUACCGAAAGGGCAUUAGUGAUUAACUAAUGUAAUCAAGUCCCCGAUCCUAAUUUCUCUAGUUACGCAGGAGCGAGUAUUUCUCCCGAUACUUCGCUUGGGUUUUUAAUCGACCCACUCCAAAUCGAUUAGUGGCGACUUCAUUUUAAAAAUUGAUUUAUAGGUUAAAAACUCAAACUAUUAAAGUCGUGAAUUGAUGAACUUGGGAGAGUAUGGGCAUAAUUAAAAUUAGCCGAGCCAUUAGCCUUCUUUUUUUGGUUCCCCGCCCAAACCCUUAAUGAAGAUUAAUUGCUGUUUAGUAUUCCAAAGUCCAGCGUUAUCGGGCCCCAUCAUCGACCUAUCAAGUUCGCUAAACUCAGUCAUCAAUGGACUGACUAUUUUUGUUUGAACACGAGCUGCACCAACAUGACAAGAAAAAGGAAAAUAAAAACUUAGGCAAGGGCUCAUUGAUUUCUAACACUUGAUCAUACAAAUUUUUGAAAAGAAAUUUUAAUAUCAUUGCUUUGAGGAUGGACGCACUCUCAACAAGUGAACUCGCGUGAUCAAAUUCAGUAAUACGACAGAAUCAUCUCAAAGAUUUAAGUUUAAUAGUUAUUUUAUACGGCGAUCAUCAUAGGAAUGUGGCAAUUUCGAGCGCCUGCAAUGCGAUGUCUUGAUGUAUCAUAGGAAUGUUAUCUAGAUAUACAAACGGCAAAGGAGCAACAACAUAUCGGCAAUGACUUGGGUAGUAAUGAUGCAUCUAUGAGGCCUAUCCUUAUUCGAUUUUUUUUCUAUUUGUUUUUGUUCAUGUUUUCUUUCUCAAACCACUCUAAUAUGAAUUAAAUAGUAGAUAUCUUAAUAUAAAAUCAACAAUAGAAUUCUCCGUUUCGUUUUGGAACUCAUCGAAUGAGACUUUUUCUCUAAUUUUUUUACUAAUCCAUUUAGAUUACAUUUUAUAUUAUCACUAAAGUUUUAUUGUAAUUUAACUUGUUGUUAUAUCAUCCAUAGAAUAAUCAUAUUAUCGAUAUUGUAGAAAACAGAUAAAUAAAAUCAAACAAAAUCGAAAUGCUCAUUAGACCAUAGAAUAAUCAUAUUAUCGAUAUUGUAGAAAACAGAAAUUUUAAUGAUUUUUAACUACUAACUAAAAUAUGUAAUGUGUUUCUAGCUAGUAUCUCGUUCUGUUUUCUUCUCACCCCCUAGCUCUAUCCGCAAUGAUCGAGCCGUGAUCAUGUGAAUGCUUGACUAAAGCCUCCCUUCAGCCGCGUUUUUUCCUGCUUUUUAUGUCCCUACUUUUUUCAGUAAAUCUUUGCCCAAGAUAUGGUCCAUUAUGAGGGGGUGCUGGUUUUUCUAUGUCGCGUCCGCUUCUGAACCACCUUUUUGAACCAGAAUUCCACGAUUUCUGGCCUCCCUUUCCCUGUUUCUGUUCCUUCGUGCGUUUUCACGCUGCUAAUUUCCUUCAUUCACACCCCGCGGGAAUGCCGUGUGGAAACUGGAAAGUAGCCUCCAGUCGACCAUUUCGGUCAGCCAGAAGGAGGGAGCGGAGAGGACUUUUAUUUGGAGAGCAGGCUGCGUCCAAAACUUCCAUAAGAAUUAUCAUUUAAAUUCACUGCGGAAAAUUUAGGGUUAGAUCGUGUAAGGUUGGUUCAUAAGAAUUCACAAUCAGGAAUGCAAUGGAGAGAGAGAGAGAGAGAGAGAUUUAUGGGAUUAUGAAUGUAUUUUUAUUAGGAGUCAAAUUAUCAGUGAAUUUGAUCGUUAAAUUUCAUUAAAAUGCGAAUGAGACCUUUAAACGGAAAUUUAUGUAUCAACAAUAAUUAAUCUUACAAAUUAGUAAGUAAUUGUUUCUCGUUAAAUCAUCCCUUAGUUGAAUUUUUUUUUCUUUUUAGUCUAAAGAUCUAAAUUGCAUACAAAAUUGGUCUUGUGAAUUCAUUAGUAUAGGUAAUAUUCUAAAUUUGAGUCAAUAUUUAUGCAAAGUAAAUAAGCAGCAGUACUCACGAAGAUUUUCCUAUUGAUUUCUAGAGGCAAAAAAGAGCAAUGCUAUGCAUAAGAGAACUGGAUAUUUAUAUAUAUUAAGAUGGAUAGAAAAUGAUAAGGAAAAUAGUGCGGUAGCUCUCUUAAGAAAAUUUUGUUUUUAAUUUUUCAUUUUCCUUGGAAAGUCUAGAGAAUUUGGCAAUUAAGUAAACCAUAGUUUAACAUUCCAUAAUAAUUUUCCACCUCAUUCGGUGCACUAAUUUUUUUAUAUAUUUACAUAUUUAGCACCAUUUCGGGCAAGACAAAGAAAGAUAAGUAGGCUCAAAAGUUUAUCGGGUGCACGUUCGCAUGAGUUUCCUCGUGGUUAAAGCUGAAAUUGGCUCAAAGGCGAACGCGUGUUCUUGAGUAACACUGUCCCACUCCCUUUGAUGACGAUGACAUCAGAGACAAUUACCCGACACUAUUGAAAAGAGAGAGAGAGAGAGAGAGGGGGGGAAGAGGUCUUAUCGUGGCUUCCAAAAGAGGCCACUUGAAAUCUCUUAAAAAAAGUGAAAGUUAUGCGAGGUGGAGUAUAAAUAGACAAAUUGCUCAUUAUUUUUGUUAAUAGAUUAUUGUCUAGAAAUGAAAAAGAAAAAAAAAAGAUGUAAAUAGUGAAGCAAUGAGGCAGCAAUAAAAUAGGAAACUUGUCAACCCCCAUGCAUUAUAUUAAAUUAAAAUAUUAUUAAGUCCAUUGUCGGUCUAGAAAAUAAUUUGCACAUUCCCGAUUAAGAGUUGACACGUGAAAUAAUUCACUGGCAAAAGCAACUUCAAACACAUAUGUCACUCAUUCACGAUAAAUGUGUAUUGAGGUUUUAACAUUGAUUAUGCUUCCAACAAUAAUCCAUUAAAUUACUAGGUUUUUCGGCUAACAAUUUUUCUAUAUUUAGUUUAAAAUAUUAAAAUAAUAAGACCAAACAGAUAAUAUAUUCGGAUGUUCAAAAUUUUUACCCAUGGGUUAAUUAGGAAUGCCAACUAUUUAAUAAAAUAUUCAAAAUAUUAUUAUUUCAUAGUAUCUAGAGAAUGAAAAUAAAUAAAUAAAAAAAGUCAAAGUCAUGCGAGGGUGAAAUAAAAGCAAUCAAAUCAUUAAAGAGAGAAAAAUCAUUUUUAUUUAUUAUAGUAAUAGGUUAUAGUGUAGAAUGAAAACGAAAAAAAUAUAAAUAAAAGAAAGGGUAAAAGCAUGCGACGACACCUAUCUAAUGUGCCAUUGCUCCAGGAGGCCUCCACGUAGCACCCGAGUUGUCUAUUCCACCGUCCAUCUCGCCGACACGACGGACGGGAAAAAAACCCACGCCGGACCCCCCCCCCCCACCCCCGAAACGGCACAUGUUGGUGUCAGCGGGAGCGUCGGACCGGGCCCCGCCCCGGUUCACGAGGAUCGCCACCGAUGACGUGGACAUGUCGAGAAGGGGGGCAGGAUCAAAGCAACGGACGGCUUGGAGGUGUGGUCGUUCGGCUUGUCGUACGCCUGGCCAUGUGAUCACAUGAAUCGGGCGUACUACGGUCAGGGGGAACAAGGGGAGAGGGUGGGGCCCGUUGGGCCGGGGAAUGUAGUUAGGCCAUGAUGAUGGACGGCUGGAUGGACGCGUGGUCGUUCGGCUUGUCGUACGCUUGGCCAUGCCAUAAGUCGGGGAUUUCUCGGGGUACGGUCAGGGGGAACAAGGGGAGUGUGAAUGUGAAAAUCGAUCCCCAAUGAACACAAUCAACGCCUCCUGACCCAGCAUCUAGGGGGGAGAAGGUUGUCAUUGGUGAUUAGGCCUUGUAAAUUGGUAUUUUCAUGGUUUGAUUUUAAUUUGAUAAAUUUACCUAUACAAAAGUGCUAAAAUAAUCUAAGCGGGGAGAUCAACCAUAGUCCAACAGAGACCAAUAUUAGUUUGACGUGAUAUUGCUAUGGUUGUUACGUUUGUUGUCCGACAAUGAUAUAACGUGCGAUUAUGUUUGUGACUACGGACUUCUGUAUUGAGUUGUGAUUUACGUGCUUUUUCUAGCGGUAAAAUAUAACAUAUUUGUAACUUUUAACAAGGUCGCUAAUUCUGUUAAAAAAAAAACAGGGUCGUUGAUUAGAAUUCGAUACUUUGACCAAGUCCAAGUCUCUCCCUUUCUCUCACACAUAGAAACAUGAUGAAAUGAUAAACGACGGAGACGUUUCUUGCGCGUGUUCUAAGCAAGUGUGCUGUUUUCUCUUAUGGCAGAGUCCCUCUCGAUUCUUCACCAAAACCUGUUCAUUCCCAUUUCCAGCAGCAGUUGAAUGCCCUUGUUCCUCUAGGAAUUGGGUUUCCGCCUUUGAAAGAAGAUGAGAAAGAAGUAGUCGAGAGAAGAGGAGAAGAGAAUUUUCUUUGUAUUAUGUAUAUCAUUCAAUGUACAAUGUCUACUAUGUUUAUAAUACAAAAUGUGUAUAAGAAAAGCAAGUAAAUAUUUUACAAUUUGGAUCCGAUUAGAUCCGAUACUAAAUGAUCGUGAUUGAUCUUGAAUGAUGUUGUGAAUCUUCAUGUGUAUCUUCUAACAAUCCCACUCAAGUUGAUGGCUUGUAAAUAUCCGAGAUGCCUAGCUUGCUUAGAAGAUACGCGUGCUGGCUUUGACACAAGGGUUUAGCGAAGACGUCCGCUGGUUGCUCUUCUGUUCGGAUCCCCAGUGUCUCGAUUAUCCCUUGUUGGAUCUUUUCUCGUGCAAAAUGGCAGUCCACCUCUAUGUGUUUCGUUCUUUCAUGAACUAUUAGGUUUGAGGCAAGUUUGAGGGCCGCAUCAUUAUCCCAAAACAAUUUGGUUGGCCCUUCAACUUGUACCCCAAGAUCUCGAAGAAAUCCACGUAGCCACACUACCUCACAUGUGGUCUUUGCCAUGGCUCGAUAUUCCGCUUUUGCUGAGGAUAAUGAAACAGUCGGUUGCUUCUUUAUCUUCCAUGAAAGUAAAGAAUCCCCUAACUUGAUACAGAAACUUGUUAUGGACCUUCUGCUCAUCGAACAUGUCGCAUAAUCUGCAUCACAAUAUGCAGUCAUCCUCAUAUCACAUUUCUUGGAGAGGAGAAUCCCAAGACCUGGACAUUUCUUCAAAUAUUUUACCACUUUGAGUGUUGCAUUCAUGUGGGACUGCUUUUGAUUGUGCAUGAACGACUAGGAGUUUGCACAGCAUAACUGAUAUCCGGCCUGGUUAUAGUUAAAUAUAUGAGUUUCCUAACAAGUUUCUGAUAAGUCAUUGGAUCCUCAAUGUAGGAUCGGGUUCUUAAGAGAUUCCAGUAUCAUACUCUGCUGUGGUCAAUUUGAUAUUUUGCUUGAUUGGAAUUACAACCGGCUUACAUCCUGACAGUCCGACUUCUGAUAUGAUUUCUAAGGCAAAUUUUCUCUGGUUGAGAGAUAUUCCUUGGUCUUAACUAACUGGACAAGCAGCUUACUGCUCUUUGAAGGGAAGUCUAAACUGGAUGGCUGCAGAGGUACUCUGAUUUUGUGAAUGUUAAUGCUACAUUCCUUUUUUUUAACAUGGUGGAAUGAUGUAGUCUAUCCUGCGGCUCAUACAAUCCUUGAUGGCAUAUGAUUACAGCACAGAUCUCAAUCGUACUGCUAACAUCUGAAGUUUGGGAAGUACUAUUUACAGGAAACCUCCUUGGAGCGAGUAUGAGCGGGNNNNNNNNNNNNNNNNNNNNNNNNNNNNNNNNNNNNNNNNNNNNNNNNNNNNNNNNNNNNNNNNNNNNNNNNNNNNNNNNNNNNNNNNNNNNNNNNNNNNUUUUCUCUGUUUGUCCUUCCAAGUAAUAUGCUUCUAACCAAAUAUGUGUCACCGUUUUCUGUUGGAAGUUCGGGACUGUGCAUAUUACCAUUUGUUAUGUGAUAUGUGUCUUUAUUUUCUAUUUAAGGUUUAAUCAUUAAUGUAGGGUCAAGCUAUAUUUAAGGUGAUGCAAAGUUCUCCACCAAUACCUAAGACGUUAUCUGCUGAGGGAAAGGAUUUCCUGCAGUGCUGCUUUUGAAGAGAGCCUGCCGAGAGGCCUUCAGUUGUUAUGCUACUUGAGCAUGCUUUCUUGCAAAUUUGAAGUGAUGACUGACUUAUUUCGAGUGCCAUACCUUGUUGCAAAAGUGAUGUCGUACUAUAAAGUUCCAGAUUUGCUAAACCAAAAGUAUCAUGAGGUCCAUAGGUGUGAUGAAGUACUUGUCUAUCGACAAAAUUAAAUGCAUGUCUGAGAGGUGGCAUACUUUGAUCUAGGAAAUUUGACAGUAUUGCCUAAUCUAAGCGGAGAUCUAGGCAAUUUGAAAGUCUUGCCUAAUCUAAACAUUUUACUAUGGAGUGCAUUCUUAUCAUAGACAUUUUGUCUAUUACUUUAAUUUCAUCAAAAUUGAAUGGUAUUGAUAUGGCUCCAAGUAAGCAACAAAUCGGCAAAACACAAGCAAGAAACCCAGAAAAGAAAAAGGAGAAAGAAAAUCCAAGUGAUGAUGCAUCAGAAUCCCUGAAAUAAUUUUGGAAGCAAGUACUCCGUCGAUUUGGUUGGGGGAACAUUGGCAGGUUUGGCAAACCUGCAGUAUCUUAGGAUUGGGGAAGUGAAGAGAAGAGUAGCAAAGUUAUGGGCAUCGGAGGCUCUUGAUUCUUCCUUUAAGAAUGUCGAUCUCAACAAAUACAUGAGAUUUCUCCAACUAGAGUGGCUCUCAUCUCCAUCACCAAAUUCCGGAGAGUUAAGAAAAGCCAUUGGGUGUCUGUGGAUGUAAAUGAUGAUGAUUCAAGAUUUGUGACUUCCGAAAGGAGAAUUGACGUUGAUUGUUGCAAAUAGCUCGUGACUUGUGUCUAUAUUUCAUCUUGUGUCUAUGAAAUGCAAAUAGCCCAUGAAUUUUGUUUAAAAUAUCUCACGUCGUUCAUUUACGAGAUUUUAAUGGGCCUAAUAUUUAUUUAAUUUCCCUUCAACUAUUUGUUCAAAUUUUUGGGUUGGACUUCCUCAUGCGUGCGUGAUGGCGUUAUUGCACGAGUAUAUUGCGUUAUCUACUCAUCACCAAUACAUCGCAAGAUUCAUCGUGACAGGAGCUUUUGCUCAUGGGGCUAUGAAAAAGUUAAGUGCUAAAAAAUAUCAACUCUAUAUUUUUGAUGAUAUACUAAACAAUUUGAAAGACUAUGAUUGGCCUUAGUAAGUAAGUCACAUUUUACAUUUUCACGUUAUUUGGCACACAAAAUGUCGAUAUAAUUAGUAUUAAUUCAGGGGCCGUAAUUGUAAUUGGCUCAAAGGUGAGUGCAUCUUCAUGAGUAAUACCGGCAAACUCCUUUUGAGAUUAUCCUUCCUAGGGCAUGUUCUCCUACUUAGAUAACCUGAUAAUUUUCCUCUUUUUUCGAAUAGUAUAAUUUAAUUUCCCUUUAUUAAUUUCCUCUCUCUAGAUUAGUGCAUCUCUCUACUCGUGCGUUCGUUCCUGGUGAAAUAAGGGGAUUAAAUUAAUUUUGUCGGCUAACUGUCAACAUCAAUUAAGCUUUCUCUCUCUCUCUUCAUAAAUACUAAUACACACAUCUCUUACUGUGUAUUUUUAUCAAUAAUUUCUUUUCAUUAUUUAAUAAUUCAAAUAUUUUAUAAACAAAGACUUGAAUUAAAAUUUGUAAAAAUUUGUAAAUACCAAAUGUUCCCACACGCAUAACGUGUGUAUCGGGUGAUAAUAAAAAGAGGAAGAUCCCCAUUGGAGAAAAGAGGUCCAGAUAUAUUAAUACGGUUUCAUUCUCUAGGAUCAAUUAUUUUCUUGGGAAGGUAGUUCGCGAUUUUCGAAUUGUCUUUGAGUUGACCGGGUCUUAAGCGACUUUUUUUUCUUAUGACUCUCGCCUGCAUUUGGACUCUUAUCUCCAUUUUCGUUUUCUUUUGUUCUUUUACCAAACCCUAACCAUAAUGCUCCUUUUCUUUUUUGUCCCUUUGUUCUCGCCCUUUUCUUUCGUACAACUCGCUCUUCUUUUCCAGCUGUUCUUUUUUUCUUUUCUUUUUUUCGGUUCUCUGCCCAAACCCUUAAUGAAGACUAAUUGGUGUACGAUGAUAUUGAGCGCCAUCGUCGACCGAUCAAGUUCGCUAAACUCAAGUCAUCAACGGACUGACUAUCCUUGUUUGAACAGGAGCUUCCACCAGCGUGGCAGGAAAAUGAAAGCAAAAACUCAAGCAAGAACUCAUUGAUUUUCUAAGAUUUGGUCAUAAGUAUCGAUGAAAAGAAACUUUAAUACUGCUGCUCCGAGAAUGGAAGCACUCCCAACAAGAAAACCCAAGUGAUCGAAUUCAAUUCACGGCGGAUGAUGCGAGUUUAACAGUCAUUCUCUACGACAAUCACAAUAGCGAUGCAGUAAUUUUGAACUCCCCAGUGAGAUGUCUCUUGAUGCGGCAGAGGAAUCCGAUCUAUUACUUUUUUAUAUCAUCACUAAAAUUUUGUUACAUAAUUUAAUUUACAAUUGUAUCAUCUACAUGAAAAUUUGAAAUACGAUCUAACUAAACGGAAUAAAUCGAAUCUCACUAAAUCGAAAUGUUAAACAGAAAAUAGAAUGCCCAGAUGAGAAUCUGACUUGACAGUCUAGAAAAAAACUGGAAUUCUUUCUGAUAAAUCUUUAAGUUCUAACUAAAACAUGUACUGUGUUUCUAGCUGAUGUCUACUUCUGUUUUCCUUUCUUGCCGACUAGCUCUAUACGUAAGGACCGGGUCGUGAUGGUGUGAAUGCUUCGCCGGGGAGUCUCGACUAAAAGCAGCCUCCCUCCGACCGGGAUUCUCCUGCUUUUCACCUUUUGCUUUUCACACUAAAUCUUUGCUGAAGAUAUGGUCAUUCAUCGUGAGGGUGUGCUGCAAUUUCUCCGCUGCCGUGUCCUUCUUGACCACGCUCUUCUCCUCAUCAGAGCAAUCUCCACCGAAGCCCACCGACAGUUCCACUUGCGCUCUUCUUUUAUUUCAAGUCUUUUUCAACUUUCUCUGCUUUCGGUUCCGCAUGGCCCGACCAUGUCCCCUCGUCCUUGUCUCGGUGUUCAGUUAGUCGACACGUUUCCACCGUAUCGUGUCUCACGAGAAUUUGCUCUCCAUUUUUGCAGAAUUUCAGCUCUUCCCUUUCUGUUCCUUUUUUGUGUUUUCACACUUCUAUUUCCCUUCCUUCGCACUCGCACGAAUGCCGUGUCGAAAGUGAACUCAAGUUGACCAUUUCGGUUCACAAAAAUUCGCAAUUUUAUUGGAAACGGUCUGUAAUUUUAUAUGCGAAAGAAUGCAAUAGAGAUUGAGAAUGCGAGAUUACAAAUGCUUUUUUCUUAAUAAGGGGUCAAAUUAUCAGUGAAUUUGAUUGCUGAAUUUCAUGAGAAUGCGGAUAGGACCUUUAGGUGAAAAUCAGUGUCAACAAUAAUUUUCCUCAUAAGUUAGUAAGUUGUUAUUUUCUCUUUAAAUCAUCCCUUCAUUGAUUUUUUUUUUCUUUUUGUCUAAAGAUCCAAACUGGAUGCGAAAUUGAUCUCGUAAAUUAAUUAGUGUAUGUAAAAAAAGAAAAGAAAAGAAAAGAAGAAGAUGAUGUUUUUAUAAUAACUAUAAUAAAUUUGCAUGGAGCACUCCUAUUUUAAUCAAGCUUGCUUUGUUUGAUUAAACUAAACCAGGGUCAUCAAGAAAAACAGCUCUAGUGCGAACGUCCCGAUCGGCUGGAUUCAAUGUUGAUUUAUUUAAAGUAAAGCGAGUUUAAUGUCGCCGUCGCGAUCGUGACCAACUUCGAUUGUGCGCCUUUUCUCUUUUGUCCCCUAGCUCUCCCACUUUUCUUAUGCCCAACUCUCUCUUCCUUUGUUGCUUUCUUUUUCGUUCUGCGCAAACCCUUAGUGAAGACUAAUUGGUGUUUAGUUUUCCAAAGCGGGGCAUUAUGGAGCACCAUCAUUGACCCAUCAGGUUCGCUAAGCUCAGUCAUCAAUUAACUAACUAUUCUUGAUUUGAUUGAACAGAAGCUGCACCAACGUGGCAGGAAAAAGAUAAAAUCAGGCGAGAACACAUUAAUUUUCUAAGACUUGGUCAUAAGUAUUGAUGAAAAGAAACUUUAGUACCGCUGCCCUGAAAAUAGAAGCACUCCCAACGAGUGAAUCCGAGUGACAAUUCAAUUAUUUGACGAAAUCAACUCAAUGACGUAAGUUCAAUAGUUACUCUUUACGGUAAUUACGAUAGUCAUGCUACAAUUUUGAGCAUUGCAAUGAGAUGUUUCAUGAUGUAACAAAAGAAGCCAAUUUAGUCGUGCAAAGAGGUGGCAUUACGACCACAACAUCAGCAAUGAUUGGGGCAGCAAUGACACAUCAAUGAGGCCUAAUCUUAGUGGACUUUUUUUUUUCCCUUUUUACGGAUAAAAUAUGAAUUAGAUAAUUGAUCUCUUAAUAAUAAAUAGAUAAUAGGAAAUAUGAUUCUCCAAUUUCUUUUUGAAUUCACCAUAUGGCAUUUUUUUUGCUAUUUUUUUCAUUUACUAAUUCAAUUCUAUUACUUUUUUAUAUAGUCACAUAAGUUUUAUUACAUAAUUUAUUUUACCAUUGUAUCAUUUACAUGGAAAUUCGAAAUACGAUCUAACUAAAUGGAAUAAAUAGAAUCUCGCUAAAUCGAAAUGUUAAACAGAAAAUGGAAUGGCCAGAUUAGAAUCUGACUUGACAUUCUAGAAAAUACAGGAAUUCAUUCUAAUAAUCUUUAACUAGUAACUGAAACAUGUAGUGUGUUUCUAGCUGAUAUCUCGUUCUGUUUUCCUUUCUGUUCCACUAGCUCUACACGCCACGGCCGGGUCGUGACGGUGUGAAUGCUUAGUCGGAGUCUCGACUAAAAGCCUUCCUUCGGCCGGGAUUCUCCUGCUUUUCACACUGGAUCGUUGCUGGAGAUACGGUCAUUCGUCAUGAGGGAGUGCUGCAAUUUCUCCACUACUGUGUCCUUUUCGACCCCAUUAUUGCCCUCAUCAAAGCAAUCCACCGAAGCCCGCCGAAAGUUCCACUUGCGCUCUUCAUUUAUUUUGCGUCUUUUUCGACUUUCUCUGCUUUCGGUUACGCAUGGCUCGACCAUGUCCCCUCGUCCUCAUCUUCGCGUUCAGUUAGUCAACACGUUUCCACCGUAUCGGGUCCCACCAGAAUUUGCUCUCCAUUUUUGCAGAAUUUCAGCUUUCUCUUUCUGUUCCUUCGUGUGUUUUCACACUGCUAUUUCCCUUCCUUCGCACGCGCAGAAAUGCCGUGUUGAAAGUGGCCUCGAGUCGACCAUCUCGGUGAACCGGAAGUAGGGAGCGGGAAGGACCUAGAAUUCCCGUUUAAAUUUACCUCGAAAAUUUCAGGGCUGGGUCGUGUAACAGGUCGGUUCGCAAGAAUUCACAAUGAAAGUUUUCACAAUUUUAAAUGCGAAGGAAUGUAAUAGGGAUCAAGAAUGCGGGAUUACAAAUGUAUUUCUUUUUAUAGGAGAUCAAGGUAUCACUGAAUUUGAUUGCUGAAUCUCAUCAGAAUGUGGAUAAGACCUUUCCGCGAAAAUCUAAAUGUCAACGGUAAUUUUCCUCAAAAGUUAGUAAGUUAUUAUUUCCCUUUAAAUCAUCCCUUCGUUGAAAUUAUUUUCUUUUUAUCUAAAGAUCCAAACUAUAUAUACCAGACUUAUCUCGUAAAUUAAUUAGUGCAUGUAAAAUUCCAAGUUUGAUUUUAGAUUUAUGCGAUGUAAAUAAGCAGCACUACUCCCAAGGUUUUCCUAAUUAAUGUAAUGCAAAUCAUUUCUAGAGGAAUAAAAGAGCAAAUGCUAGACAUAAUAAAAUUGAAUAUUAUAUGCGCGCGCCCGCAUAUUUAUAUAUAAAGAUGGAUGGAGUAUGAAGAGGAAAAUAGUGUGGUGGCCUUCUUAGGUAAGUUUUGAUUUUAAUUUUUGAGAGUUCGGCAAAAAAAGUGAAUCACAUUUUAAUGCUCAACAAUACUUUUCCACCUCAUUUGGUACACUGAUUUUUUAAAAUCUUUAUAUAAUUAGUACUAUUUUGCCCCCCACCCAAAAAAAAAAAAAAAAAAAAAACCCAAUAGUAUCUUGGGAGCACUUUCGUGUGAGUUUCCUCACUGCCGAACGCGUUUUCUUGAGCAGGGCCGUCCACUCCUUUUGAUGACAAGACAACAACAUGGGAAACAAUUACCCUACACUACUCUUGACGCUCCUCUGGAUCGAUGCUUAACGUGUAAGGGCUGCUUGUGAUUCUCCUUGCAAAGGUAUGUUCUCCUUCUUUGAUAACCAAUUUUCCUCUUUUUUUUCGAUAAGUAUGAUAUUAAUUUACUCUGUGUAGAUCUAGUGUAUCUCUCUAUUUGUGCUUUUGUUCCCAGUAAAAUAAGGAGAGAGAUCUCUGUACUUCAGGCGUGCACAACUCAGGCGGUUUGGUUCUGUUAGGAGGAUUCUACGGUUUUGCAACGAUUUCAAAUAUACCUGGUCAGCUAGCUUUUAACAUAACUUAAGAAUCCUUUAUUUUUCUAUAUGCAUUAUUUUUUUAAAUUGAUCGUCUGUUUUUAACUGUUCUAUGCUCUUGCUUGGCAUUGUCUCUGUUUUGUAAGAAUCAAAUAAAGAAUCUCCGACUGAGCAUCCUUAUUUAACUGGAUUACUUCUUGUAGGAUAUUGGUAGCGGCAAUGCCUAGAGAAAAGGAUCCAUUUUGGAAGUACGCGACGUUGCUGAAUGAAAAUAAUAGCAAGUGGAGGUGUAACUUGUGCGGACAGAAUUAUAGUGGACGUGCUACAAGGAUCAAGGCUCACUUGGCUGGAUUGACCCGCUUUGGUAUUAAAGGAUGCGAGAGAGUCGAUGCUAAUGUUAGAGCAGAAGCCAAGGACGCACUUGAGCCUAAAAAAGUGACGGACUCGAGCGACCAAGGUGUAUCUGACGAGAGGAUACCAGGAAAUGUUAAAGCAGCUCCGACCAGCACAACUCAUCCACCAAAUGCGGAGGGAGGAAACAAUUUACAACUUCCACAAGGUAUGCAUUUCCAAAUUACCGCAGAAAAUGGCUGUUUAGUAAAGUGAAUUUUUUUGAUCUAAUCUUAAAUAUGGUUUGAGGUUUGCUUUAGUCUUUUAGGGUCUGCAUGACAAACUUCCCCAGCCCAAGAAUUUCUAUUCUUCUCUUCCCCAGAACCAAAAAAGAAUAGAAACCCGCAUGAUAAUGGCAAGUUAAUUUUUUGUUCCCGGGAACAAAAUGUUAGCCCGGAAAUGGUUUUGGAAUAGAAAUGAGAAGUAAAAAAAAGUUGCUUCUUGUUCCCGGGAACAAGUUUAAGAAAUAAGUUAAUUUUUUUUUCUUUUAUUCUUCUAUUGUUGACUGCCAUUGACCGCUGUUGACCGUUGCCGCCGCCGCCGGUCGCCUCCGCCGGUCGCCGCCGGUCGCCGCCGGACGCCGCUGGUCGCCGGAGGCUGAUCGACCUCNNNNNNNNNNNNNNNNNNNNNNNNNNNNNNNNNNNNNNNNNNNNNNNNNNNNNNNNNNNNNNNNNNNNNNNNNNNNNNNNNNNNNNNNNNNNNNNNNNNNUGUUUUUUACCAAACGCGAUUCAAACGCAUUUCUAUUCUUUUUCUAUUUCUAGAUGUGUAGUUAUCAAACGGGUUUUUUUACAUAGAAAUUGUUCCCCAGAAUAGAAAUAGAAAAGAACUAUUUCUGAAAAGAAAUUGUUCCCCAGCCAAGAAAUGUUCUCAUGCGCACCCUUACUGUCUAAACAUCCAUUUCAAGGCAUGUCAAAGCAAUCAGUUUCCCUGCGCCCUAAAUUUCAAUAUGUUACUGAAGACAGCUAUAUAAAUCCGACUAAUGCUGUUGUAUAUCUCAAUCCAUCACUAGAAAAUGGGCAGGAGAUGAGGGCGGCCAACGUCGCAAACCCCCCAUUCGAUGGUGCAACAAGUUACCAUAGAGCACCUCCCACGCCAAAUUCACCCUUCACUGUUGAAGAUUUUACUUCUUUGAUGGAGUCUCUUGACGCUGAGACAUCAAAUGCACAACAGAAUCCAGGCGCGUUAUUGCUAUCAUCAAACUAUCAGCUCCUUGAUAAUACUUUUCAGAAUGAGUUACAGGGGCCCCUUUUGCCUGGUCCCAUUGCAUCGGAUACUCAACUCAGUAACAUGGCCACAACCAAAACUUCCCAGCAUUCUAGUCAACCACUUCAAAGCGACAGGGAGUGUGGAUACGGCACCGGUCUAGAGCCACCUAUUCCAUCACUACCUUCCACUGGACCUCUUCUUGUCGAGUCAGUUGACCCCCUGCAGAUUCCAGAGGACAUCACAAAUACAAUAGGCCCAUGGACAUCAGAAGGUAUGAAAUUAUCUAUGUAUGUUAAAUGAGUAUCGUUAACUAAGUGCCC